GUAAAGGAUGAGAGUGUGCCAACACCUGCUCCGGCUGAUCGAUGGGGAGGUCCUGGAGAUGAACUAGGAAUAGAAUUAUUGCUGUCCUCUAAGUGUGCAGCAGCCAGCUAGCAAAGUGGUCACGAGGACACAGGGCCCUCAAGCAAUACGAUGAGCCACGUACAGCAAUCUACAAAGUGCUGUGGGAUUCUGCAGAGAGGCAGCUAGUUUUCUCUGACACGUGGCAAAGAUGUGCCCUAUCGUUUCUAGAGGGCAGGGCGACUGUCACACCAGGGGCAAACCCCUCCCCCACUGUGCCACAUACCAGGCUCACUCAAGGCAGAGGAAAGGCCAUCUGGAGAUCCUGUCCUCCCACAGCGACUCCUGUGGUGACCCUCCUUGCGGAGAAGAAAGGCUUUCUGACGGGUCUUCCUUUGACUAAUAGACUAAGCCAACCCUGAGUUGGGUAGUUUGAAGCUGAGUUCUCUUUCAGACACCUGCAAGGGCAGAACUGAAGCUUGGAGGUGUCAGGACCACCAUGGCUUGUCUCUGUGCAGGAGACAGAAGGAGGUGCUAGCCGAAGGUGUCACCUGCCACAGGUCCUUCCAGACACUCCACUCCGUCACACCUGCUGCUUCAUGGCUCUGACAUAGAACUUGAUGCCAAGACUUGUGUUUCUAAGUAAUUUACAAAUGGAGGCUGAAGCCAAAGUUAUUCCGGGUUGACAAUGAUGUGUGCCAAGAAAUCAAAGCUUGAGGACAGCAGCUGUGCUGCCCAAGACGCUAAGGGUAGCAGUGCCUUCCUCUCAGACUGGCUUGCUCUGGGAAGCGCCAUCUUCCCUGUGGGCAUAGCCCACCUGGGGUGGAGGCUGCAUUCACCCCUCCUCUCUGGGGCUUUGGGGGAGAUUAACUUCACUAAGCAUCUGUUCUGUGAAAGGUGCCUUUUGCAAAAUGGCCAAUAUGAUUAAAUACAGCUUUGGUGUGGAGGCCCUUGUGAUCCUAGGUGUCACCAGGAUCUGCGAUAUGAGUUCCUAUGCUCAAGGUCAAGAGGCCUGCAUUCACCAGACCUUGCCAGCUUACCCCUCAAGGAUUAAAGGGGAGCUUAUGUCACAUUGCUCCAA
This is a long non-coding RNA of Psammomys obesus (fat sand rat), 1099 nucleotides long. RefSeq lists it as uncharacterized. The transcript is spliced from 3 exons. NCBI's taxonomy places the organism in Eukaryota, Metazoa, Chordata, Mammalia, Rodentia, Muridae. The record is from RefSeq and is a predicted model, not a curated record.